RNAcentral lists this small RNA (80 nucleotides) under Flavobacterium succinicans. RNAcentral describes it as "Flavo-1 RNA". It matches the Rfam family "Flavo-1 RNA". The record is from RNAcentral. Lineage: Bacteria; Pseudomonadati; Bacteroidota; Flavobacteriia; Flavobacteriales; Flavobacteriaceae.
CAAUAGCCCCGAUAGUAGUGGAAAUCCUUUUUGGGCUGGUGUUCAGCACAAAAAGAUUGCAGCGGAUAGCGGGACGAUGU